CGGCUAAAUCAUGUUUAAUCAAGUAGAUCCGAAGUGGAUCUGCCACAUCCUCCACUACGAACGGCGUCCAGCGCCCGGAGCGGAGGAGUGCGGCGAUGGCUGGGCUGACUAGCGGAUGGCGGGGCAAUGGCCAGACCCAUCCUCCAGCUCCAGGCUGUGCCGGCAGAGAGGGAGGGGCCAGAGGGGUUUACCUGAAAAUGAUCCAUACGACGACGGAGAUGGUGAGGAAAACCGAGAAGAACUUGACCAGCGAGGACGCUAUGGCCGCCCCCACACCCGUGCGUGUGACGACCGGCCCCAAAUCUUACCAGUUAAUCUUAAUCCGAGCCCCCUGAUCACCUGGCAAGUUUUUCCGUGCCUAAGUAUUCAAUCUUCCGAUCGGUCCCGACCCCUGAGACCCGACCCCUCCCCGCUUCGCCCCGGUUCCGACCCCGCCAAAACUAGCCAACCGUCGGAUCCUUCUAAGUCUUAUCAAACAUCCGUUCUGUCUGACCAGUGGACCCGCGAGAUCUUUUUCCCCCCCAGAUCUUCCGCGGCAGGCGCACUCGAGUUGCAUGCCCGCUUUAGAGUCUCCCCGCCGCGUGGCUCAUCUUCUCCGACGCCCGCCGCUCAGCCUCAUCUCUGACCCGCGACCGAAUGGAUUCUCGCGCCCCCUUCCCCAAUGGCAGCGGAAGCCCCUCUGCGACCUUUCUGCCGCGCCUCGCCUCCCGCGCCCAUCAUCACCCCGCAAGAUCCCGGCUGCAGAGCCCGAUGUCGCCCAUCUUUUCCGUCACUUCGAACACAGUCGCGCCGCCUGGUCUUCGCUACCCGACGAUUCCUCCUUCGCCAACCCCGACCACGGCAGCGACAGCUCCUUUCCCCGCCUUGUUAGAAGCCGCCCGACAAUCUGUUGCUCCGCGCUCGCCCGCGCGCCCACGGCUACCUGUCUUCUCACCUGUGUGCCCUCGAUUCUAGCGCCGUUAACCCGGUCGCGUCCAUCAAAUCUACCGCACGGUGACGCCCGCCUCCGCCAAAUCUCAACCACUGGCAUGAUCGCUCCUGCGCUGCCCUGACGAAAGAACCCAAUGCCCGCUGGCGUCAUCCCCGAAGUCCUGCACCACCGCCCUCGUCGCUCAAUCGCCGCCCCGGCAGAGCACUCCAUUGCUUCUCCCCGGCCUUCGCGCCGCUCCCCUUCUCGCUCCUACGCCGCUUCCCUACCCCAUCCCAGCCGCUAUAAAAGGGAAUGCGCGAGCCCGCUGGAGUUCCCUCCACCAUUGCUGCCUUCCGCCAUUUCUCUUGCUCCCUGCUCAAGCUCCUAGCACCACACCUAAGUUCCUGAGGAACUCUCCUCCUAGCUCCCCUCCGUUUUCUCAAGCCACCCAGCCGCUUGCUCCUCCGUGUUGCGUAAAAGCUCACUUGUGAUCCACAAGAAGCACCGCCGCCGCCGGAGUACUGCCGGACUUAGCCAUUGUUCAAAGCCUUAGUCCCUCCGCCCACGUCUGCUUUCUCCCGACCCCAAGCUUUCCUCGUAGGAAGAAGAAGGUAAGCUGCCGACCCCAGUCCGCUUUGCCCGACCCCUCUUAUCCCUCCAACCCCGGUUCCGUCUCGCCCGACCCUAUCUGUUUCGCCGACACCUCUCCACCUCGCCCGAGGGCUCGGCUGUGAUCUUUUUCUUCAACCCGAGGGUGUAUGUGUAAAACUUAGGAACCCUUCAGCGCUUGCAUCUGAGGAUCCCUAGUAUACCACAUCCUCUAGUUCAAGGAUCAGAUCAUAAGUUCCUUUCCAACUCUUACCUCUUGAUCUCCACCAGCUCCCUUGAACCUUCACACCCUCCUGCUCUUUGUCGCGAGUUUCUGGGCUCAGGCGAGCAAUUGUUGCUGUUGAACUAACCGUCUAUGCUAACUCGUGCAUUGCAUUCGUGUAGAGUUGCGCCUUGCCAACGGCUUCUACGAGCUACACCCGGCGCCAGAAGACGAAGCUGUAGCUGAGCACCUGCCCCCAGAAGCCGAAGCCGCCCCCGAAGUCGAGCAGUUCUCUUCCUCUUUGCUCGAAGGCAAGCCCCGGUUGCAUGAAAACCCUGUGUUGUGUUUCCAAACUUGCGCAUGCCUUCCUUAAAACAUGCUUGUGCUUAGGAGUUGUUUGAAGCCCUAGAUGCAUGACCUAGCUUCCUAUGAUCUGAACACUAGCUGUUGGACCGAGUAGUUGCCUUGCUUAACUAGGAGACGGUAAAAGCCGAGUGAUUCCCUGUCACUCGCGAGUUGUAGGAGUUGGAUGUCUACAUUUCUGCUACAACUAUAAGGAAGAUGGACGGGGCAGGGUUUUGGGUAACUCUUUGGUGGUCGGAUGAUUGCCCCGUCUAUCUAUGAAAACUUGCUAGGGCCCGACAGUGGUGGUGUUCGUGAUCAAGUGUUUGAAAGUACUAACCUCAUACUUAGUAUGGGAUGAGGAAGCCUAGUACCGGAUUGAACCUAGACGUGAUCGGUCGCCCCAUUGUUCUUAGAACGGAGUUCCCCUGCUGGUUGUCGCACGUGGUGGCAAGCGUGGUCGCAGAGCGGCAGAGGCCGGGUCUAUGGAAACUUGCACCAAAGGAAAUGGGCCCGACACGGGUUAGGGGAUUGAUGGGGAAGGCCGACACAGGAAGCGACCUCCAGGUGCGCGGAUGUCGUGAGGUUAGGUUCACCAUACAUGGUUAAAGAACCCGAAUCGAUUCGUCUGCCUCUCACAGUUUGAGAUUACUUGAUUGCUAUGUCACCCUGAGUAAAUGAGAAAUCUGAUGAUGACAUGGUUUUGUUGAUAUAUGCAUACCUUGUUUGAGUUCUAUGAUUGCUUAGAAUAGGUUGCAAAACCUAGACCGGUUAAUGAACCUAGAACCGGAGCUAAAACUUGAAAAUAGGGUUUUUACUUAGCGCUUUUGGCAAACAAACCCUCAGCCAAAAGACCCUGCAUGUCUAGAAGUGUGGAGUAGUUUCUCCCGUCGGUUAAGUCUUAUUGAGCUUAGUAGCUCAGCCUUGUUGUGGCUCCUGUUUUUCAGGUGAAGUUGCUGCUCCCGACCCUUCUCCUGCUGGCACUUGGCCGCCCCAGCUCCCUCCGGGUUGGACGGUCGAGUGGGAUCCCUCCUCGGACGGCGAGGAAAGGGAUCAGUGAUGUCCCGGUUGGCCUCACCAGGACGUCCGACCCCCGACGAUUGCUUCCGCUAGUGUUUUACCUUCUGUUAUUUUCUGGAUUUUGUAAAACUCUGAUGUUCUCUCGCAACUAAACUAAGUGGUUAAUUUGUUAACUCGGUGGACUUGUUGUACUCUCUGGAACCGCUCACCUUCGUGUGAGUCUGCUAAAAUGGUCCUGUUCAGGUGGUUAAAUCGGAGGAAAAAUCCGACGGCACUUCGUGUUUACUCGUCUUAGGCAUGAGCGUCGCAUAUCAGGCGGCUAAAUCAUGUUUAAUUAGUAGAUCCAAAGUGGAUCCACCGCAGUGCGUCUGCUGAAUCCACGUCACGCUGCCCUGAUCCGGUCUAGCGUGGUCUCUGAGGCCUCCCUCGACCCCUAGCCUCGCGGGUGCUCGGCCCGCGGUGUGUGAGGGCGGCGGCGGGUGAUCUCGCUUGGUGGGGAGACGGAGGUGUGCGAGAUGGAAACGGGGGGUUAGCAAGGGGAGGAGGGGAAGGGCCGGUGCCCGGAGGAUGGGGGGACCAGGGGAGGCGGCGCAGGAUGGCGAGGAUGGGGAGGAGGCGCCAGGACGGCGGUGAGCUGGGUGCAUCGUGCAGCUUUGGGGAGGGAGCGGAGGGUUGCGGAGGAGGGAGCGGAUGGCCGAGGAUGACAUGGAGGGCAGAGGAAGGAUCGCACGG
RNAcentral lists this long non-coding RNA (3815 nucleotides) under Setaria viridis. RNAcentral describes it as "long non-coding RNA (SVIR_LNC003957)". The record is from RNAcentral. Lineage: Eukaryota; Viridiplantae; Streptophyta; Magnoliopsida; Poales; Poaceae.